CAGCACUUUGCCAACUCGUAAGAGGAAGUAUAAGGUGUGACGCCUGCCCGGUGCUCGAAGGUUAAGAGGAUGCGUCAGUCGCAAGAUGAAGCGUUGAAUUGAAGCCCGAGUAAACGGCGGCCGUAACUAUAACGGUCCUAAGGUAGCGAAAUUCCUUGUCGGUUAAAUACCGACCUGCAUGAAUGGCGUAACGAGAUGGGAGCUGUCUCAACCAGAGAUUCAGUGAAAUUGUAGUGGAGGUGAAAAUUCCUCCUACCCGCGGCAAGACGGGAAGACCCCGUGGACCUUUACUACAACUUAGCACUGCUAAUGGGAAUAUCAUGCGC
This 326-nucleotide ribosomal RNA is filed under the name Helicobacter pylori. RNAcentral describes it as "bacterial LSU rRNA". It matches the Rfam family "Bacterial large subunit ribosomal RNA", at positions 1816 to 2139 of the family's 2925-position model. Lineage: Bacteria; Pseudomonadati; Campylobacterota; Epsilonproteobacteria; Campylobacterales; Helicobacteraceae. The record is from RNAcentral.